RNAcentral lists this transfer RNA (85 nucleotides) under Felis catus (domestic cat). It matches the Rfam family "tRNA". From Rfam's summary of the family: Transfer RNA (tRNA) molecules are approximately 80 nucleotides in length. Lineage: Eukaryota; Metazoa; Chordata; Mammalia; Carnivora; Felidae. The record is from Rfam by way of RNAcentral.
GCCUGGGUGGCUCAGUCGGUUGAGCGUCCGAUUUUGGCUCAGGUCAUGAUCUCACAGCUCGUGAGUUCGAGCCCCACGUCAGGCU